This 564-nucleotide ribosomal RNA is filed under the name uncultured bacterium. RNAcentral's name for it is "partial 16S ribosomal RNA". It matches the Rfam family "Bacterial small subunit ribosomal RNA", at positions 355 to 912 of the family's 1533-position model. The record is from RNAcentral.
UGGGGAAUUUUGGACAAUAGGGGAAACCCUGAUCCAGCCAUCCCGCGUGUGCGAUGAAGGCCUUCGGGUUGUAAAGCACUUUUGGCAGGAAAGAAACGUCGCGGGUUAAUACCCCGCGAAACUGACGGUACCUGCAGAAUAAGCACCGGCUAACUACGUGCCAGCAGCCGCGGUAAUACGUAGGGUGCAAGCGUUAAUCGGGAUUACUGGGCGUAAAGCGUGCGCAGGCGGUUCGGAAAGAAAGAUGUGAAAUCCCAGAGCUUAACUUUGGAACUGCAUUUUUAACUACCGGGCUAGAGUGUGUCAGAGGGAGGUGGAACUCCGCGUGUAGCAGUGAAAUGCGUAGAUAUGCGGAGGAACACCGAUGGCGAAGGCAGCCUCCUGGGAUAACACUGACGCUCAUGCACGAAAGCGUGGGGAGCAAACAGGAUUAGAUACCCUGGUAGUCCACGCCCUAAACGAUGUCAACUAGCUGUUGGGGCCUUCGGGCCUUGGUAGCGCAGCUAACGCGUGAAGUUGACCGCCUGGGGAGUACGGUCGCAAGAUUAAAACUCAAAGGAAUUG